Long non-coding RNA from Vitis riparia (riverbank grape), 625 nucleotides. RefSeq lists it as uncharacterized. Lineage: Eukaryota; Viridiplantae; Streptophyta; Magnoliopsida; Vitales; Vitaceae. The record is from RefSeq and is a predicted model, not a curated record. The transcript is spliced from 2 exons.
CGUGCUCGACGCCGAAUUGCAUGAGCUUCUCCCAGAUUUCAAUACCAGUAGCAGUUCACUUCCAAAUACAUCUCUCAUUGAAAUAAUGCAGGUGGAAGUUUUUCUUGCUGGUUCCUGCAGAAAGAGAAAACCUUGUAUGCUUAAUGGAGGAUAUCAGAUAGCAAAUGCGUGCCAGAUUAUGCAUGGUAACUGAUCUUUACUCAGCUCAGGAGUGAUGAUUCUCUUGGCUCUGUAUCUUAUUGGGCCUUUUCCGUGUCCAGGGAUGAACUAUGAGAGCCUUAUUAGGUGCGAGGUAAAGGCCUGUAUAUACCUACAUAUACCAUAAUCUUGCAAAAAUAAACUUUACAUAUAUAUUUGACAAGGUUUCAUAAAAGCCCCAAUAUCGCCCUUUGGUUUUCUAGGGCCUCACAUGGUUCUUCAGUUUUCUUGGGUUUUAGUCUUAUGCUCCGUGCCUGACCAAGAAAUGGGAAUGGAAACAUAGAACAGGACAGUAGGUAUUUUGGGACUCCAAUCGAUGUAAUAGAGAGGACCCCAAAGCUUGUAAUUUAUUUAGUGUUUUACCAAAUAACUUGGUGAGAAUGAGACAAUGUUUAAUGAAAUUUGGGUGCUUCAGUAUGUAGAAUCA